This is a long non-coding RNA of Mya arenaria, 439 nucleotides long. RefSeq lists it as uncharacterized. The transcript has 2 exons. Lineage: Eukaryota; Metazoa; Mollusca; Bivalvia; Myida; Myidae. The record is from RefSeq and is a predicted model, not a curated record.
UACAACUACGUCAUUGCUUUCUGCUAUGUGUACCACGUGGUACACAAUUUCCAGGAAGGUCGUACAAGAAAUGUAAACAAUGGCUACUUCUGAUAAGGUUUCUGCAGUAACAUUCACUAGAAAUAAUCUUCCUGGUGCAAAGUUUCUCUCAGAAGUCAAUUGUUGAGAUAAGUAAUGGACACAGUGCUGCUGAGGUUUAACUUCAUGUGGGAAAAGACCAGAACUAAUUAACAGAUGCAGUGCCUGUAUUAAAGCUGGGGAAGACAAGGUCAUCAUUGUGCCAGUUGAUGACGGUUUAUGCUACUUGAACUUUAAAUGAAUCAAUGAAAAACAGUCCACAAUGUCAUGAUUUAUACAAUAGCUGGUACACACAUAGUACAAAUAAAUAUAUAUACAUCGAUGUGUUGUCAAUACAGAUAUUAAAAUGAUACUAAAUACA